Sarcophilus harrisii (Tasmanian devil) is the source of this 4105-nucleotide RNA transcript. It is a transcript of the gene named gamma-secretase activating protein, with no coding region annotated. The record is from RefSeq and is a predicted model, not a curated record. NCBI's taxonomy places the organism in Eukaryota, Metazoa, Chordata, Mammalia, Dasyuromorphia, Dasyuridae. The transcript is spliced from 27 exons.
UGGGGUUCUGUACUCUACCCUACACUUAUUGAACAUCAUCGCCGACAGCAUCUUCUAUACUCCUCUAAUUUACCACCUCUUCAGGGCGCUUUAAAAAGCAACAACAACAACAACGAUACAAAUCUCAACUCUCCAGUCUAAUCUGGGCAGAGUCCGGCCAAGUGUGAAGAAGAGAGGAUGAAGCGUCCAUCUUUACCGGUUCUCACAGACAAGUCCCUUCUUUGCCCUUCCUUCCCUUCUGGGAGCCCAGGUGCUUCCCUGAUGUGGCUAGCUCCCUAACCAGAACUCACGACUGACGGGCGCGGGCGCCAGUGGGAGGAGACACCGUGGAGAACAAAACCGAAAGCUACUGCGGGCAAUCGGCGCGAAGCCGGGAAGCGAGAGUGAGCUGGCUCCCCGGCCGAUCUGGGCGCAGGGCUCCGAGGAGGAGGAGGGAGAGGAUCGGGCAGAAAGCUCCUAAGAAGUUAAGGGCGGCGCAGAGUGGCCGGGAAUGCGCCCGGCGCGUGGAGCUGGAGCCCAUCCAGCCCUCCCGCAGCUGCGGCAGCCUAGCCCGACACUAUGCUUCUCCAGCUGAGCGCCGCUUUUGAUCUUCAUCAGGACGUGGUUCCUUGGCUGAAGGAGCGUUUGUCUGCGGAGGCGGCCGCUCCUGUGGCUGGCCCGAGGGCAGGCUUAGAUCCUGUUGAGAAUAAUUAUGAAACCCUACACGUAGUCAAUGUUGAAAGAAAUGGAAAAGUCAUUUACAGUUGUAAGGACAGUAAGAAAAAUGUCUUCUUUGGAUUAUAUGAUCUCCAAACUAAAAAAAAUGAGCAUCUGUAUACAUUUGAGAAAGAUUUGCAAGUUGUCAGUUGCUCUGUCAACCGUGAGAAAACACUACUUGCUGUCAGUUUUGUACAAUCAGCUAAGGAAAGAAGAAAUGAACUUCAACCAGCCUCUAAGUGUUUGACUUUGUUGGUUGAAAUUCAUCCAGUUAACAAUGUGAAGGUCCUGAAGGCUGUAGAUAGCUGCAUCUGGGUACAGUUUCUCUACCCAAUUGAUGAAAGAAAUCCUUUCCCAGAGAGCCAUCUGUUACUGAUCUCAGAAGAGAAAUAUAUUGAACAAUUUCAUAUCCAAGUCUUCAGGGAAGAUGAAAAUAGGGUGGUGAUUCGAAAUUCUGGUCGGCUCCCAGCAGACAGAAUUGUUGAGGACUUUAUUUGGGCCCAAUGGGAUAUGUCAGAACAGAGAUUAUACUAUUUCGUCCUGAAGAAAUCAGAAAGUAUCUUAAAAUGCAUCCAGUUUUAUGCUGAUGAGAAAUUUAACUUAAUAUUUGAAGUUCCCCUGGACAUUUCGUUUGGUGACACCAGAUUAACGCUUGUGAAUUUUGGGUAUGAAGACUCUCAAAACCGAAAAGUGUUAUCCAAAGAUCUGAAUCUACGUGUUUUUACAAGUCACACAGGAAGUUUGUGUGUAUGUUACAAUAAGAAAUCGGAUGUGCAGAAGCAAGUUUCAUAUUUAGUGUUUUACCUUCAUAAAGGGUAUAGCAAGACCUUCACUGUUGAUCUUGGAACACUGGAAUAUCAAUCAAUAAAGGAUAUUACUUUUCUUAAUCUAGACUGUUAUGUGGCUGUUUACCUGCCUGGACAUUUCUUUCAUCUUCUUAACACUCAGCAUCCUGAUUUGAUGUGCCACAGUCUGUUUAUUACAGGCAAGAAUGAAAAGAUGAACUUGCUUCCUGAUGCUCCAUUACAGUCACUCUCAGGGGCCUUGGCUUGGGACUGGUGCUCUGGAAAGCUCUUUAGAGUGAGCUUUAACCAAUCAUCUUUGUUACAUUUCCUAUGGAGCAGCCCUUUGGACUAUGAAAGGUUGGCUGUGUUGAAUUGCCUGCUGGCACAAGGCAGGAAUCCAAGAGUCUUAGAAGUCCAGAUUAUUCAAUGGAUUUUUGAGAACAUGAAGACCUGUUAUGCAUUUGAUCCUAUUCAGGAAUUUUUAAUUGCCUCCUUAUAUUGGAAAUUCUGUCUGGAUAUUAACAAUAUGGAUAAACUUCUUCCACAUUCCUCAUUACAUUCUUGGAAUAAAGAAAUUCCAGGAGUAACGAUGGUGACUGAAGAGAUCUUAUUACCUCUAAUGAAGAUACAAAGCUUUAAGGGCUACUGGGAAAAACUGAACUCCAAUUUGGAAUAUGUCAAAUAUGCUAAACCACACUUACAGUAUAGCAACAAUGUGGUUAGAAGAGAGUGGAGAAACUUAAUUUCAGAGGAGAAAAGGGGAAAAAGAAGAUCUACUGUAUAUUUCAGGAACAUUCUUGAGAAUGCUGUAAAGGUAGUUUCCAACCUAGAAGCAUGGACAGUAGAGUCACGAUUAGCUCCCCUCUUCCAGGAGGAAGAUAAUCAGCAAAGACUGCUCAUUGGAUUGAUGGUCUCUGAACUAAAAGAACAUCUCUUGAGAAAUCUACCUGUACAAUUCAUAGGAAAGAAGAAAAUUGAACAGUUAGUUCUCGACUAUGUUUCAAAAAUGCUGGACCUCCUUUGCCAGAUGCUGGAAACUAGCUGGAGGAAACACAGGCUUGAUUCCUGGGUUUUCCACUUGCUUCCAUACUGUGUACAUGGCCUUAGGGGUACGAUGUCUCCCCCUGCACUGCCUUCUGCGUUACAUUGAUGAUGGAGUGCUACUUCUUACAGAAACAGGGGUCAUGAAGCUCUUGAAAGGUAAGUGCAUUUGAUCCUGCUAGAGGGCUGGUUCCUGUCUCCAUAUAUCCCAUUUCUUGUAAGUAAUACUCUUUCUUAGCAACCAAGUUAAACUGCUUUGGCUCUUGAAGAGGCCCUAGAGGUUUCUCACUUCAUUCUUAGUGAUUUUUUCCCCCCUACAGUUAGAUUCCUUUACAGAACAUAGAGGCUCUUGAGGCUAGGAAGACUCAGCUUGUUGUCCAAGAAUGUGUCAUCAAAUGGCUGGCUCCCUCUCAGCUCUUUUAACAUUCCCAUUUCAAAAUCAGGCUGUUUCAUGUUAGGAAAGCAGGAGAGUUAUAUAUAGAUAUAUAUUUUUUUUUCUUGUUUGAAUUUCAUUUCAAAUAAGAUCAGCACAGGUUGUGCUAGAGAGUUUAUAUUAUAAAAUUAGUCUCAUAUUAAGUUGAAGUGUUGCUUAUCAGAGGGGGACAAUUGUUAGUAUAUUUCCAGCAUAUUUUAAUUCAGAAACUUGUGAGUAUAAACUUAUAACAAGAAGGAACCUUAGAGACCAUCUAGUCCAACCUCACAUUUUAUAGAGAAGGAAAUUGAGACCCAUAAAUGUGAAUUGUUUAUGAUAACACAGGUGGGAAGGAGCAGAUUCAAAAUUCAAAUCCAUGUCCUCUAACUGCAAAUCCAACAACCUUUCCAUUGUUCCUUGUGGUCCAGCAACUUUUUGGAUGAAAUGCUAUUGCCCCAAUUCCAUAAUUUGUGAAAUAUUUGAUUUAGAAUCAUGAAGACCUGACUUAAAAGUUUCAUUUCAGGCACUUAGGUCAAUUAGUCAGUAAGCAUUUAUGAAGUAUUGAUGUGCUAGACUUUUCCUGUAUGAUCCUGGACAAAUCAUUUAACCCCUCUGUUCUGUUUCUCUAUAAAACUGAGAAUUGGACUAGAUGCCCUUUAACAUCUGUCUUUUCUAGCCUUAUAUCUUUGCUCUUGGGAUCCUGAGAAAUUUGCUUUGACAUUGCUUUGUGGUUCUUUUCAGCUCUAGCUCUGUGAUUUGUGCACAUGUUGUCUUCAGGAUCAAUCAUUUUGGAUUAUAAUGGAUUCGUAUUUUCUGCAUGUUAUGUAGCUUUUUUUUUUUUUUUCUGAGAUAAUUGAAAACAGUUAAUUAAAAAGUCUGUUUCCCCAGAGAGUCACACAAGUGUGAUUUCCAAAGCUCUUAAUCUGUGGGGAAUCACAGUGAUGGUAUUAUGUGUUAUCUAAAGAACACUGUUAUAAUGUUUAUGAAUUUUUGAAUUUUAGAUACAAACUUUAGUAACACUCUAUAAUACUAAAAUGAACUGAUUUUAAUUGCUUUCUGUUUUGGGGGGAGUUGUUUUGUAGAUCUGGACAACACAGAGAAGAAUGAAAAACUAAAAUUCAGUAUAGUUGAACGUCUUCCUCCGUUUAUUCUGCAGAAGACAAGUCAAUUC